UACUUAUCAAGAGUGACCGAGGGAAAGGCCCUAUGACGUCCGGCAACCUCCUUAAAGGGAAGGUGCUAAUUCCUUCAGAAUGAUUUUCAUUCUGGAAGAUAAGUC
Molecule: non-coding RNA, 105 nt
Filed under: Bacillus sp. (in: firmicutes)
Lineage: Bacteria; Bacillati; Bacillota; Bacilli; Caryophanales; Bacillaceae
Also listed under: 1 other name
Description: Bacillus sp. SAM-I sequence
Rfam family: SAM riboswitch aptamer (S box leader)
About the family: The SAM riboswitch is found upstream of a number of genes which code for proteins involved in methionine or cysteine biosynthesis in Gram-positive bacteria. The SAM riboswitch acts at the level of transcription termination control.
Source: RNAcentral